This 1760-nucleotide long non-coding RNA is filed under the name Cicer arietinum (chickpea). RNAcentral describes it as "long non-coding RNA (CARI_LNC001666)". The record is from RNAcentral. Lineage: Eukaryota; Viridiplantae; Streptophyta; Magnoliopsida; Fabales; Fabaceae.
AAAGACGGAGGAAGGGCAUAAUGUAACAUAAGAGAGAAAAUGAAGAAGAAGAAAAAAAAAAAACAAAGAACAUACUAACUCCAUUGCAUGUCCUUCUCAUGAUCCCUCAUUUCAUCAUCUCAUCAUAGAAACAACCCUCACACCUAUAUUAGAGUAAAAAAGGGCCAAAAGGGAGAGUAAAAUGAGAAAUUAUGAGAAAGAAGAAAAGGAAAGUUGGGGUUUCAAUAUAGGAGAAAAAGUUUAGAGUUCUUGCAUGUGGAGAAGGAAGAUGAAAACAUGAAGAGUAGUUAAGGUUUCACUUGUAGAAGAAUGAGUUAGAAUCAAACUUUGGGGUCUCAAAUCUCUUCUUAAGGUAACAUAGAAAAUCCCCUUAAAACCUCUCUUAGGUGUGCUUAGAGAUAUUGGUUGCAUGUUCCUAAUAUCUGUUCAUGAUUUAUAUAUUUAAGUAUUGAGAUAAUCCUACUUGAUUUAGUAUCAUUGAGUAUUAAUAAUGCAUGCUAGGUGUUUGUAUUAAUUACUAUGAAGAGUUGUUGUUUUCUUAUUGUUGUUGAGUGUUGUGGUUGGGUUUGUGAUGAGAUGAUGAUUGUUUAGUAUUGGUAAUUACUUGGUUUUAUGCUGAAUUUUGAAUUUAUUUUACUUAGUUGAUCAUAUGAACUUAAAAAUAUAAAGUUUGAAGUGAAAAUAGUAUAAUGUUGUCUUUGAACCUGUAUAGAUAUAUCUUUGGUAUUUUGUUCAUAACUUUCUCCAUAGAUAGUGUUUUGAGCUGAUUUCUAUCUCAUUAGAAAAUAGACUUAAUUACCUACGAAUUAGGCACUGGUUUCACUAUUUUUCAUUGCAAAUCGAUAGAGAAAAUUGAGUUACAAGUUGGAAAAUAAUAUGUUAUUCCGUUUUUGUAUAUGUAUACCUUAUUUUAUUAAACUGUACUAUUUGAAUGCCUAUUAUGCAGAAUAAAAAUUAUAUUUAUAAACUAGACAUCUUAGGAUUUCCAAAAUAUUAUCUUUUAUUCAAAUCGGACAUCGUUUGAUAUUUUAAUAAAAUUACUAAAGUUAUAGUGUUUUUGUAUAAAAAGAUUAUGACAUAACUAAAUUAAGAUGAGUAUAACAUAAGCAAUAUGAAUCAGUUUUGAGUGAAAUCAAUUGGACGAGAAAGCUUAUUCAUAUAUAUAUAUAAGGUUCAUUCUAGCUAGACUCUCCGUCUAUAUACGACGGGAGCGAGGAUAAAUGAGGAUAAGUGGGGCACCACUUACAGACUUAAUUACGUCCAAUCUUACCAAAAUAUGUUAUUCAAGUAGAGGACAUUGGGUGAAACCAAUGUAGUCUUUAUGACUUAUUUGUUACGUUGAGUUUAAGUCAUUAGAUUACCCAUGUCUAGUGGCUUAAAGCGUUUGAAAGAUUUGAGGCUAGAGGUAGAAAAGGUAUUUGAAUAUAGCUUACGAAGAAAUAAUAUUAUAUUAAUUUGAAGUAUAGUUUGCCGAGAGGAUCUUCCAUGCUUAGCACACUGACAUGGCUGUGAAACAUCAAUAAUUGUUUUUAUUAAAUCUAUGUUACUGAGUUUAUGCUCACUAUGUUGAGGGUGAUGUUUUCCAAGUAUCAGGUAAACGUUGAAAGUCUGAGGAGUAUCUGAAUUUGUUUACCAGUCCUUCAAUAUCAUGAGUCGGAUCACGUCUUGAGUCUAGAUUAAAGUCUUAGUUUAAUUAUGUCUCACUUGAAAGUUGUUUUAAAGUUGUAAGUAUUUAAAUAUUUAUGAAUUAAAAAUUUCAG